UGCAAGUCGAACGGGAAUCUUCGGAUUCUAGUGGCGGACGGGUGAGUAACGCGUAAGAAUCUAACUUCAGGACGGGGACAACAGUUGGAAACGACUGCUAAUACCCGAUGUGCCGCAAGGUGAAACCUAAUUGGCCUGAAGAAGAGCUUGCGUCUGAUUAGCUAGUUGGUGGGGUAAAGGCCUACCAAGGCGACGAUCAGUAGCUGGUCUGAGAGGAUGAGCAGCCACACUGGGACUGAGACACGGCCCAGACUCCUACGGGAGGCAGCAGUGGGGAAUUUUCCGCAAUGGGCGAAAGCCUGACGGAGCAACGCCGCGUGAGGGAGGAAGGCCUUUGGAUUGUAAACCUCUUUUCUCAAGGAAGAAGUUCUGACGGUACUUGGAGAAUCAGCCCUCGGCUAACUCCGUGCCAGCAAGCCGGGGUAAUACGGGGGGAGGCAAGCGUU
This 446-nucleotide ribosomal RNA is filed under the name uncultured cyanobacterium. RNAcentral's name for it is "bacterial SSU rRNA". It matches the Rfam family "Bacterial small subunit ribosomal RNA", at positions 56 to 542 of the family's 1533-position model. Lineage: Bacteria; Bacillati; Cyanobacteriota. The record is from RNAcentral.